AUAGAGACUCAGAGCUGCAUAUCAAUAAGCGGAGGAAAAGAAACUAACAAGGAUUCCCUUAGUAACGGCGAGUGAAGCGGGAAGAGCUCAAAUUUGAAAUCUUCAAGGUUUUACCUUGACGAAUUGUAGUUUAAAGAAGUGUUUUCUGUAGUGGAGUUUGGUAAAAGUUCUUUGGAAUAGGACAUCAUAGAGGGUGAGAAUCCCGUAUUUGGUCAUUCCUCCUAGCGUUGUGAUACACUUUCAACGAGUCGGAUUGUUUGGGAAUGCAGUCCAAAAUGGGUGGUAAAUUUCAUCUAAAGCUAAAUAUUGGCGAGAGACCGAUAGCGAACAAGUACCGUGAGGGAAAGAUGAAAAGAACUUUGAAAAGAGAGUUAAACAGUACGUGAAAUUGUCAAAAGGGAAGCGUUUGACACCAGUGUUGUUUUUCCGAAAAUCAAUUACGAAUGUUUUGUUUUUGAGGAGUUAUGACUUCAUCGGCUUGCUUCUCUCUUUACGAAACUUUCUUAAUGCACUUUUCGGUUAACAAGUCAACAUCAAUUUCUUUUGUUGUAAAAGGGUAUGAGGAAGGUGGCUUUCUUUUCGGAGAAAGUGUUUAUAGCCUUGUAGCCUCUGCAAUCGGAGAGAUUGAGGUCUGCAGCGUAGAUCCUUCGGGGUUAGAUACAGUUUGUGCUAAGUUAUAGCUUUUCAUAGACAACUUGUUGACUAUGUUUAGUCUUGUAGCUUACUCGCAUGACGCUAUUUUACCUACGCUUAGGAUGUUGAUAGUCACAGCGUGUAC
RNAcentral lists this ribosomal RNA (778 nucleotides) under uncultured Neocallimastigales. Its description in RNAcentral is "partial large subunit ribosomal RNA". It matches the Rfam family "Eukaryotic large subunit ribosomal RNA", at positions 23 to 644 of the family's 3401-position model. Lineage: Eukaryota; Fungi; Neocallimastigomycota; Neocallimastigomycetes; Neocallimastigales. The record is from RNAcentral.